AGGUCAUUACAAGUGAGGCUACCGAACGUUGGAAACAGCGGUUAGGAGCUUACACCCACCCGUGUUUACAUACUAUUGUUGCUUUGGCGGGCCGUGGCCUCCACUGCGGGCUCUGCUCGUGUGUGCCCGCCAGAGAACCAAACUCUGAAUGUUAGUGAUGUCUGAGUACUAUCUAAUAGUUAAAACUUUCAACAACGGAUCUCUUGGUUCUGGCAUCGAUGAAGAACGCAGCGAAAUGCGAUAAGUAAUGUGAAUUGCAGAAUUCAGUGAAUCAUCGAAUCUUUGAACGCACAUUGCGCCCUGUGGUAUUCCGCAGGGCAUGCCUGUUCGAGCGUCAUUUAACCACUCACGCCUAGCGUGGUAUUGGGGCACGCGGUCUCCGCGGCCCUCAAAAUGAGUGGCGGCGCCGGUGGGCUCUAAGCGUAGUACAUACUCCCGCUAUAGAGUUCCCCCGGUGGCUCGCCAGAACCCCCAAUUUUUACAGGUUGACCUCGGAUCAGGUAGGGAUACCCGCG
This 515-nucleotide ribosomal RNA is filed under the name Phialocephala fortinii. RNAcentral's name for it is "partial contains internal transcribed spacer 1, 5.8S ribosomal RNA, internal transcribed spacer 2 and large subunit ribosomal RNA". The stretch from base 184 to 337 matches the Rfam family "5.8S ribosomal RNA". Lineage: Eukaryota; Fungi; Ascomycota; Leotiomycetes; Helotiales; Mollisiaceae. The record is from RNAcentral.